AGGACGACGCUGGCGGCGUGCCUAACACAUGCAAGUCGAACGGACGAGAUGGGCUUCGGCCAUCGAGUUAGUGGCGGACGGGUGAGUAACGCGUGAGCAAACCUGCCUUACAGAGGGGGAUAACACACGGGAAAACGUGUGCUAAAUACCGCAUAAAUCAGGCUAAUGGCAUCAUUAGCUUGGCAAAGGAGCAAUCCGCUGUAAGAUGGGCUCGCGUCCGAUUAGAUAGUUGGCGGGGUAACGGCCCACCAAGUCUGCGAUCGGUAGCCGGACUGAGAGGUUGAUCGGCCACAUUGGGACUGAGACACGGCCCAAACUCCUACGGGAGGCAGCAGUGAGGGAUAUUGCACAAUGGGCGAAAGCCUGAUGCAGCAACGCCGCGUGAGGGAUGACGGUCUUCGGAUUGUAAACCUCUGUCCUCAGUGAAGAAAAAAAUGACGGUAGCUGAGGAGGAAGCCACGGCUAACUACGUG
RNAcentral lists this ribosomal RNA (473 nucleotides) under uncultured bacterium. Its description in RNAcentral is "bacterial SSU rRNA". It matches the Rfam family "Bacterial small subunit ribosomal RNA", at positions 33 to 507 of the family's 1533-position model. The record is from RNAcentral.